UCCAGCAGUCAAAGUUUAAUGAACCAAAAUAAGACAAACUGCAGUCAGUGUUUAGACGAACAUUCAUUUGAUCAAUCUGUAAAUAUCCGAGGAUCCUUUCACCUCCUCCUAAAGACUUGUUUUCUCUCUGUGUGUGCAGAUAUUGGCAGAAACUCAACCCUGAUUCAUGUCUCACACUCAUUAUUGAUCACCUGUUAAUCAUACUAAUGCACCGCUGCAUGCGCAUGGAGUUAGAAACACUGAGCGUGCAUCCAGCAGAGAGUGCAUGUAGUUCCUGCAGAGGUUGAAGGAGGGCAGAGCGUCAGAGAUCCAGCCUGAUCCACAAAGACAUGACCUGUGCAGGUGAAGAGACUGGAGGAUAAGAGAGCAGAGAAAAACACAACCAUGAUGAUUUGACUCGUGUUUUCUCACCUUCUCUAAAGUGACCCAGAGCGUCACCGAUUCAUGAGUUUGAAAGCAUGUGGUCGUAUCGUAGCGGAUCACAGAAACAGUCGUAUUUACAGACACCAAACCGAGAAAAUGAAGACAAACAAGUUGGAAAAUCUUCAAACUUUAGAGACGGAGCUGUGUGAUAACAGAGAAAUAUGGAAGUCAAACUGUGCCAUCUGAUCUUCAAUUUGAAUUUAUAAAACUGAAUUUCUUUUGCAUCUAAAUCAGACUUUGAAUUUGGAAACUAUUGAAUUUCAAACACACAUUUUUAUUUCUGACACUAAUUUUUUUUACAAUGAUGAAAUAAAUUCAGUGUAAAAAAAUCAGUCUGUUUAGUAAAAAUUCAACUUAAACAAACUGUAAAUAAAAAAUAUUCAAUGUCAAAAUAUUCAACUUAAAAAAAAAUUCAAUGUAAAAAAAUUGAGUGUAAAAUAGACCGACACAACAUCCGGGUAACCAGGGAGAAGCAAUCGAUUCCCGGUUCAAUCAUCCACCAUCCAGCCAAUCAAUGAAUGCUAGAUUGGUCAUGUGACCCCAGAGGAAGAUUGAAGAAUCGAUUGCUUCUCCCUAAUUACCCGGAUGUUGAGUCGGUCUAUUUUACACUAAAUUUUUUUACAUUGAAUUUUUUUUUAAGUUGAAUAUUUUGACAUUGAAUAUUUUUUAUUUACACAGUUUUUAUAAGUUGAAUUUUUACUAAACAGACUGUUUUUUUUACACUUAAUUUAUUUCAUCAUUGUGAAAAAAAUUAGUAUCAGAAAUAAAAAAUGUGUGUUUGAAAUUGAAUAGUUUAGAAAUCCAAAGUCUGAUUUUGAUGUAAAAAAAUUCAGCUUUAGAAAUUCAAAUUCAAAAUCAGAUGGCACAGUUUGACUUCCAUAGAGAAACACUUUCAGAAACCCCUGCAGCAUCAGGACAACCCUGUGGGUGAAUCUCACACACUCCUCACAGGAAAGGUUCCCUCUCUGGUCCCAGGACACAGGAUCAAAUAAAUCUUUACAGACUUGUUUUUUUUUUUUGUUGCCCCGGAGGUUGACCGAAACCUCUGACUCUUCAUGAUUGUCAAUUUGGAGAACAGAGUGAGAGUUUCUCCAUCACUGACCAUCUAAAUAACCAUGAACGCCUCACACGGCGCUCCAAAAUAAGAUGUCGAACCUGAAUCUCCUUUUUUCUGUCUCUGAUCUGAAGCAUCUGAACUUUCAGCUGUUGGGGAUCCAGUCCUGAAGAAAUCAUCUGAGCUGAGCGAGCAAACGGCGUCCCCUCUUAUUCAUCCAAACAUCCGCGUGACGGUGGGCGGGACGUUUCUGACCUUGGUGAGGUGAGAGGAGAAGUCAGGCGUGGAUUCAUGAAGCUGUGUCUUCUUCAGGAGCCAGAGGUAAAAAAACUCCAAAAUUAUAAUUAUCAUCAUCAUCAUCAUCAUCAUCAUCAUCAUGAUUUUUCUUACUGCAGGUUAUCAGGAGACUUUAGAGCUUUUGGUUUUUGAUCUUUGGCUGAAAUUUUAGAUCGUCACUCAAACUGAAAACCAGAGAAAAGAAGCACAAAAAAAAAAAAACAAGAACAGGUCUGCAGCAGAAAAGGUGGAUGAUGGAGGGUUGAUCUCAGUUCCUGCAGGAGUUCCUUCAGUUUGCAGCACACAGUCAAAAUACAGUCAUUGUUGAUUUUACAGCUGCAGGGGUUCAAGGUGAGAUCCAGAUAAACCCGAGUUCCUCUUCUUCUCAGCGUGCUCUGAUCAAAUAUGGCUCCACACGCAGCAGCAGGAGGUUUUAUUGCUUUAAUCGACUGAAUUUGGGACUAAAACCCUUUCAGAG
This 2231-nucleotide long non-coding RNA is filed under the name Xyrichtys novacula (pearly razorfish). Lineage: Eukaryota; Metazoa; Chordata; Actinopteri; Labriformes; Labridae. The record is from RNAcentral.